This 490-nucleotide ribosomal RNA is filed under the name uncultured bacterium. RNAcentral's name for it is "partial 16S ribosomal RNA". It matches the Rfam family "Bacterial small subunit ribosomal RNA", at positions 30 to 507 of the family's 1533-position model. The record is from RNAcentral.
AUUGAACGCUGGCGGCAGGCCUAACACAUGCAAGUCGAACGGUAACAGUAAGAAGCUUGCUUCUUUGCUGACGAGUGGCGGACGGGUGAGUAAUGUCUGGGAAACUGCCUGAUGGAGGGGGAUAACUACUGGAAACGGUAGCUAAUACCGCAUAACGUCUCAAGCCCAAAGAGGGGGACCUUCGGGCCUCUUGCCAUCGGUUGUGCCCAGUUGGGAUUAGCUAGUAGGUGGGGUAACGGCUCACCUAGGCGACGAUCCCUAUCUGGUCUGAGAGGAUGACCAGCCACACUGGAACUGAGAAACGGUCAAGACUCCUACGGGAGGCAGAAGAGGGGAAUAUUGGACAAGGGGCGAAAGCCGGAUGAAGACAGGCCGCGUGUAUGAAGAAGGCCUUCGGGUUGUAAAGUACGUUCAGAGGGGAGGAAGGGAGUAAAGUUAAUACCUUUGCUAAUUGACGUUACCCGCAGAAGAAGCACCGGCUAACUACGUG